CGGGGUGAGUAACGCGUAGGAACCUGACACGCAGAGGGGGAUAACGCUGGGAAACCGGUGCUAAUACCGCAUGUGAUCAGAGAUGAAGAAAGCAGCAAUGCGCUGUGUGAGGGGCCUGCGUCCGAUUAGCUAGUUGGUGGGGUAAAGGCCUACCAAGGCGACGAUCGGUAGCCGGCCUGAGAGGGUGAUCGGCCACACUGGAACUGAGACACGGUCCAG
This 219-nucleotide ribosomal RNA is filed under the name uncultured bacterium. Its description in RNAcentral is "partial 16S ribosomal RNA". It matches the Rfam family "Bacterial small subunit ribosomal RNA", at positions 104 to 334 of the family's 1533-position model. The record is from RNAcentral.